Molecule: ribosomal RNA, 1056 nt
Filed under: Lacticaseibacillus paracasei
Lineage: Bacteria; Bacillati; Bacillota; Bacilli; Lactobacillales; Lactobacillaceae
Description: bacterial SSU rRNA
Rfam family: Bacterial small subunit ribosomal RNA
Source: RNAcentral
UGAUCGGUGCUUGCACCGAGAUUCAACAUGGAACGAGUGGCGGACGGGUGAGUAACACGUGGGUAACCUGCCCUUAAGUGGGGGAUAACAUUUGGAAACAGAUGCUAAUACCGCAUAGAUCCAAGAACCGCAKGGUUCUUGGCUGAAAGAUGGCGUAAGCUAUCGCUUUUGGAUGGACCCGCGGCGUAUUAGCUAGUUGGUGAGGUAAUGGCUCACCAAGGCGAUGAUACGUAGCCGAACUGAGAGGUUGAUCGGCCACAUUGGGACUGAGACACGGCCCAAACUCCUACGGGAGGCAGCAGUAGGGAAUCUUCCACAAUGGACGCAAGUCUGAUGGAGCAACGCCGCGUGAGUGAAGAAGGCUUUCGGGUCGUAAAACUCUGUUGUUGGAGAAGAAUGGUCGGCAGAGUAACUGUUGUCGGCGUGACGGUAUCCAACCAGAAAGCCACGGCUAACUACGUGCCAGCAGCCGCGGUAAUACGUAGGUGGCAAGCGUUAUCCGGAUUUAUUGGGCGUAAAGCGAGCGCAGGCGGUUUUUUAAGUCUGAUGUGAAAGCCCUCGGCUUAACCGAGGAAGCGCAUCGGAAACUGGGAAACUUGAGUGCAGAAGAGGACAGUGGAACUCCAUGUGUAGCGGUGAAAUGCGUAGAUAUAUGGAAGAACACCAGUGGCGAAGGCGGCUGUCUGGUCUGUAACUGACGCUGAGGCUCGAAAGCAUGGGUAGCGAACAGGAUUAGAUACCCUGGUAGUCCAUGCCGUAAACGAUGAAUGCUAGGUGUUGGAGGGUUUCCGCCCUUCAGUGCCGCAGCUAACGCAUUAAGCAUUCCGCCUGGGGAGUACGACCGCAAGGUUGAAACUCAAAGGAAUUGACGGGGGCCCGCACAAGCGGUGGAGCAUGUGGUUUAAUUCGAAGCAACGCGAAGAACCUUACCAGGUCUUGACAUCUUUUGAUCACCUGAGAGAUCAGGUUUCCCCUUCGGGGGCAAAAUGACAGGUGGUGCAUGGUUGUCGUCAGCUCGUGUCGUGAGAUGUUGGGUUAAGUCCCGCAACGAGCGCA